AGGGAGGUGAUGAUCCUUUCUCCAGAUGAUCGAUUAUGAUUAUGAUUGCAUUUUUUCAUUUCUUUAGUUCUCUGUCUGAAGAGAAAUCAAGCCAGAGAUUCUGAUCCUU
Small nucleolar RNA from Elaeis guineensis (African oil palm), 109 nucleotides. RefSeq annotates it as small nucleolar RNA Z103. The record is from RefSeq and is a predicted model, not a curated record. NCBI's taxonomy places the organism in Eukaryota, Viridiplantae, Streptophyta, Magnoliopsida, Arecales, Arecaceae.